RNAcentral lists this ribosomal RNA (387 nucleotides) under uncultured bacterium. RNAcentral describes it as "bacterial SSU rRNA". It matches the Rfam family "Bacterial small subunit ribosomal RNA", at positions 28 to 416 of the family's 1533-position model. The record is from RNAcentral.
GACGAACGCUGGCGGCGUGCUUAACACAUGCAAGUCGAGCGGUAAGGCCCUUUCGGGGGUACACGAGCGGCGAACGGGUGAGUAACACGUGGGUGACCUGCCCUCAGCUCUGGGAUAAGCCUGGGAAACCGGGUCUAAUACCGGAUAUGACUCCAUGACGCAUGUUGUGGGGUGGAAAGCCUUGUGCGGCUGAGGAUGGGCCCGCGGCCUAUCAGCUUGUUGGUGGGGUGAUGGCCUACCAAGGCGACGACGGGUAGCCGGCCUGAGAGGGCGACCGGCCACACUGGGACUGAGACACGGCCCAGACUCCUACGGGAGGCAGCAGUGGGGAAUCUUGCGCAAUGGGCGAAAGCCUGACGCAGCGACGCCGCGUGAGGGAUGACGGCC